GAGGAAUAUUGGUCAAUGGGCGCGAGCCUGAACCAGCCAAGUAGCGUGAAGGAUGACUGCCCUAUGGGUUGUAAACUUCUUUUAUACGGGAAUAAAGUGAGCCACGUGUGGCUUUUUGUAUGUACCGUAUGAAUAAGGAUCGGCUAACUCCGUGCCAGCAGCCGCGGUAAUACGGAGGAUCCGAGCGUUAUCCGGAUUUAUUGGGUUUAAAGGGAGCGUAGGCGGGUUGUUAAGUCAGUUGUGAAAGUUUGCGGCUCAACCGUAAAAUUGCAGUUGAUACUGGCGACCUUGAGUGCAACAGAGGUAGGCGGAAUUCGUGGUGUAGCGGUGAAAUGCUUAGAUAUCACGAAGAACUCCGAUUGCGAAGGCAGCUUACUGGAUUGUAACUGACGCUGAUGCUCGAAAGUGUGGGUAUCAAACA
RNAcentral lists this ribosomal RNA (421 nucleotides) under uncultured Bacteroides sp. RNAcentral's name for it is "bacterial SSU rRNA". It matches the Rfam family "Bacterial small subunit ribosomal RNA", at positions 356 to 774 of the family's 1533-position model. The record is from RNAcentral. Lineage: Bacteria; Pseudomonadati; Bacteroidota; Bacteroidia; Bacteroidales; Bacteroidaceae.